CAGUCGCCACGGGAAUACAGAGGGUGCGAGCGUUAAUCGGAUUUACUGGGCGUAAAGCGUGCGUAGGCGGCUUCUUAAGUCGGAUGUGAAAUCCCUGAGCUUAACUUAGGAAUUGCAUUCGAUACUGGGAAGCUAGAGUAUGGGAGAGGAUGGUAGAAUUCCAGGUGUAGCGGUGAAAUGCGUAGAGAUCUGGAGGAAUACCGAUGGCGAAGGCAGCCAUCUGGCCUAAUACUGACGCUGAGGUACGAAAGCAUGGGGAGCAAACAGGAUUAGAGACCCCCGUAGUCCCUGUCUCUUAACC
Molecule: ribosomal RNA, 301 nt
Filed under: uncultured bacterium
Lineage: Bacteria
Description: partial 16S ribosomal RNA
Rfam family: Bacterial small subunit ribosomal RNA
Source: RNAcentral